UGGGGAAUUUUGGACAAUGGGCGCAAGCCUGAUCCAGCCAUGCCGCGUGCGGGAAGAAGGCCUUCGGGUUGUAAACCGCUUUUGUCAGGGAAGAAAUCUUCUGAGUUAAUACCUCGGGAGGAUGACGGUACCUGAAGAAUAAGCACCGGCUAACUACGUGCCAGCAGCCGCGGUAAUACGUAGGGUGCAAGCGUUAAUCGGAAUUACUGGGCGUAAAGCGUGCGCAGGCGGUUUUGUAAGACAGAGGUGAAAUCCCCGGCUCAACCUGGGAACUGCCUUUGUGACUGCAAGGCUUGAGUGCGGCAGAGGGGGAUGGAAUUCCGCGUGUAGCAGUGAAAUGCGUAGAUAUGCGGAGGAACACCGAUGGCGAAGGCAAUCCCCUGGGCCUGCACUGACGCUCAUGCACGAAAGCGUGGGGAGCAAACAGGAUUAGAUACCCUGGUAGUCCACGCCCUAAACGAUGUCAACUGGUUGUUGGGAAGGUUCCUUCUCAGUAACGUAGCUAACGCGUGAAGUUGACCGCCUGGGGAGUACGGCCGCAAGGUUGAAACUUAAAAGGAAUUGACGGGGUCAUAGCUGUUUCCUG
Molecule: ribosomal RNA, 586 nt
Filed under: uncultured bacterium
Lineage: Bacteria
Description: partial 16S ribosomal RNA
Rfam family: Bacterial small subunit ribosomal RNA
Source: RNAcentral